AUACGGUAGGGGGCAAGCGUUGUCCGGAUUUACUGGGUGUAAAGGGUGCUCAGGCGGGUUUGUAAGUCAGUGGUGAAAUCCCGGGGCUUAACUCCGGAACUGCCAUAGAAACUGCAAGCCUAGAGUACGGAAGAGGUUGAUGGAAUAUCUGGUGUAGCAGUGAAAUGCGUAGAUAUCAGAUAGAACACCAAUGGCGAAGGCAGUCAACUGGUCCGUUACUGACGACUAAAGCACGAAAGUGUGGGGAGC
Molecule: ribosomal RNA, 249 nt
Filed under: uncultured bacterium
Lineage: Bacteria
Description: partial 16S ribosomal RNA
Rfam family: Bacterial small subunit ribosomal RNA
Source: RNAcentral